AUUAGAAUGUUGAAGAGGAGAAGUAGAAAGGGUUUGCCAUAUGCAGAGAGAAUCACCUUUGGCUGUGAGUGAUUUUAUGGAACUCUUUUGAAAUGCACCUCCGAGUCACUUGUGGAAGAAGAGUAUACAAGUGCGAUUCUCUCCCGUUAUCGAGAGUGAAGGUGGAGAAGAGGUCGAUAAGCCUUAUUCUCAAUCAGAGUGGAACCGCGCGAAGAAAGCGUCUCUGUG
Molecule: non-coding RNA, 228 nt
Filed under: Pontibacillus litoralis
Lineage: Bacteria; Bacillati; Bacillota; Bacilli; Caryophanales; Bacillaceae
Description: T-box sequence
Rfam family: T-box leader
About the family: Uncharged tRNA acts as the effector for transcription antitermination of genes in the T-box leader family.
Source: RNAcentral